UCAUCUCUCUCUCUUCUGAUUCAGUUCGGCAUGGGAGAACCAAGCAUGUUGAGUGGAUCAGCGAAAAAGUUUGUUCUGAAAUUUUCUCUACCCACUUUAUCUCCUCCAAAGGCCAUCACCACUUCUUCUACCUCAGCCUAUCUUUCUACCAUCUGGACCGGUGCCCUCGUCUCUGGUUCAUCUUCUUCCUUCCACGUCUAUAUAUAGCUGACCUCGCGCUCCUGCCUCCCUUCCAAAAAUCUCCUAUAAUAAGUGCUUGAUCAAAUCAUCGACUGUCUUGGGUUUGCUUCAUUUGAUGCUUUGAUUUGAAUUUAUUUCUUCUUGUGUGAGUUUGGGUGAAAUGGAGAGUUACGGUUGGGGAGGAAGUAGCAGCAGAGGACGAGGCGGCGGCCGUGGCGGUGGCAGUGGCGGUAGAGGGAGGAGUAGAGGUGGUGGAUCUGGAACUUGGGGUUCGUCCUCCUACCAAGGGGCUACACAGGGACAAUAUUCGGAUCAACCGUAUCAAUUUGGCGGUCGUGGCGGCGAUGGUCGGGGUCGCGGUCGCGGUGGCAGUCGCGGUGCUGGAUAUGGUGAUUGAGGUUCUGCCUCGAGUCAGCAAACUCCUCUGCCUAUCUAUGUAGAAGGUCAGUAUCAAGUAAGUUCUAGCUCUGGGCAGCAAUAUCCUCAAGAAUGGAGUAACCAGGAAGGUUCUGGCCGAGGAUGGUUCCCAAGGCCCGCGGUUGAUGUGGUUUCCAGUAAGAGUUUGGGACCAACAAAGCCGGAUUCCGGCGAGAGUUCGACCAAGGCUGGUUCUGGUAAAGAUCGGAGGGGUACUGGAUCUUCUGUUUGGGAUAGGGGACAGGCUUAUGUUCCUGUUAGGUCUGAAAGAUCUUCUGAAGCUGUUCCUGGUAUGGAUCUGUAACUAGAUCUUGAGAUUAUAGAUUUUCUAUCGUCCUUAUUAUGAUUUAGUUCUGAAUAUUUUGUUGGAUUUAUGAUUCCGUAGCUGUGGAACGCAGCUAGUAAGAUAAAAAACCUUCAUGAGGAUUUUUCUUGUGGUUACAAUGCUUAUGGUUACAGUGUCAGGUUUGUCUGACUUGAUUUAAGCAUUGUAAUUUUCCUUGUCUACUGAUGUGGGACGCACUUUUUAGUUUGCCCUAAAUUUGUUAUAUCAGGUGGCUGAUGAAUUGAGACUGGCAAGAGCAUCCAUGAAUGUUAAUGGUACAAUGUCAGGCCAUUGUGUCAAAUAAAAAAUUAUGGUAUUUUGCAUUGUGUGAAUUUGUUGACUUCGACUGGAGUGCUUUCAAAUUAAGGCAUCUAACAUUGAUGUGGGAAAGGUUACAACGUUUCAGUAUGAAAGUUUUAUGUGGAUACUUAUCUUGUUUAAUUUCCUUCACGAUGAUUAGUUUAGGACCGAUGCUAUCCUAAUAGGGAAGGACAAAAGGAGGAAAAGGAUAAGAGAAAUUUCUAGUUAUUUCUUUUUACUGCUUUUGAUGUCCCAGAAAGGAAGCGAAAGAAAAAGGGAAAGGCAAAAAAAAUGUGCUUCCUUUCCAUUUUCUUGUUUAGAAGAAUAUGUUUCGCUCAAAAUUAACUCUUUGGCUUGUUCAAAGAAUAAAUGAGAUGAGGGAUGUUAUUAGUUUAUUGCUUGAGCAAUCUGAUGGCGGCUGCAGUUUUUUAAUCGGCAAAGAGAGUGCCUGCAUUUAUGCUUGUGAUGCUAUACUGCUGGGGAUGGUGAAUCUUCCCAAAACAACCUAGAUACACCAAAUCCAAAACAAAAGACCGAUUUAAGACGUGAAAGUCUAAGAUUGAUUUAUUUCAGUUUGUUACGAAAGCUGAGAAAACCUUAAAUCCAAAGAACAGAGAAAAUGUAGUGGGCAAUUCACCGUGUUGGGUAGGAGAAAACAAAGGAGAAAAGACAGAAGGUGCAAGGGAGGCAAAAGUGAAGGAAAGAAAGCAGGCGCCCUUUCCUUUGUUCUUUUAAGAGAGGGAAAAUGUAGUGGGCAAUUCUCUUUGCAUCCUUUGCUCUCCUGUUUUGGAAGCAAAUGGUCUUGGAAGGAGUUGAAAAGCUUACAAUGAUCCUCCUAACUCUUUCACCCAAUCAAAUGAGGGAAUAAGAUUUUUCACUCUUCUUUUCUCCUUACAGUUAUCCUUCUCUUUUUUCCUUCUUAUUAAACGAAAUGUUGAGGAUAUUGAUCUAAA
RNA transcript from Malania oleifera, 2175 nucleotides. RefSeq lists it as uncharacterized. The transcript has 2 exons. Lineage: Eukaryota; Viridiplantae; Streptophyta; Magnoliopsida; Santalales; Ximeniaceae. The record is from RefSeq and is a predicted model, not a curated record.